AGAUUGAACGCUGGCGGCAUGCUUUACACAUGCAAGUCGAACGGUAACAGGCCGCAAGGUGCUGACGAGUGGCGAACGGGUGAGUAAUGUAUCGGAACGUGCCCAGUCGUGGGGGAUAACGCAGCGAAAGCUGCGCUAAUACCGCAUACGAUCUAUGGAUGAAAGCGGGGGACCGUAAGGCCUCGCGCGAUUGGAGCGGCCGAUAUCAGAUUAGGGUAGUUGGUGGGGUAAAGGCUCACCAAGCCAACGAUCUGUAGCUGGUCUGAGAGGACGACCAGCCACACUGGGACUGAGACACGGCCCAGACUCCUACGGGAGGCAGCAGUGGGGAAUUUUGGACAAGUGGGCGCGAAGCCUGAUCCAGCAAUGCCGCGUGCAGGAAGAAGGCCUUCGGUUGUAACUGCUUUAGACGGACGAAACGUCUGUUAAUACCGUGGCUAAGUGACGGUAACGUAAGAAUAA
This 462-nucleotide ribosomal RNA is filed under the name uncultured soil bacterium. Its description in RNAcentral is "bacterial SSU rRNA". It matches the Rfam family "Bacterial small subunit ribosomal RNA", at positions 26 to 489 of the family's 1533-position model. The record is from RNAcentral.